CCUACGGGAGGCUGCAGUGAGGAAUAUUGGUCAAUGGACGAGAGUCUGAACCAGCCAAGUAGCGUGAAGGAUGACUGCCCUAGGGGUUGUAAACUUCUUUUAUAUGGGAGUAAAAUGUUCCACGUGUGGGAUUUUGUAUGUACCAUAAGAAUAAGGAUCGGCUAACUCCGGGCCAGCAGCCGCCGUAAUACGGAGGAUCCGAGCGUUAACCGGAUUUAUUGGGUUUAAAGGGAGCGUAGGUGGAUUGUUAAGUCAAUUGUGAAAGUUUGGGGCUCAACCCUAAAAUUGCAGUUGAAACUGGCAGUCUGGAGUACAGUAGAGGUGGGCGGAAUUCGUGGUGUAGCGGUGAAAUGCUUAGAUAUCACGAAGAACGCCGAUUGCGAAGGCAGCUUACUGGACUGAAACUGACGUUGAGGCUCGAAAGUGUGGGGAUCAAACAGGAUUAGAUACCCGGGUAGUC
RNAcentral lists this ribosomal RNA (460 nucleotides) under uncultured bacterium. RNAcentral describes it as "partial 16S ribosomal RNA". It matches the Rfam family "Bacterial small subunit ribosomal RNA", at positions 338 to 795 of the family's 1533-position model. The record is from RNAcentral.